GUGCCAGCCGCCGCGGUAAUACGGAGGGGGUUAGCGUUGUUCGGAAUUACUGGGCGUAAAGCGCGCGUAGGCGGACUAUUAAGUCAGGGGUGAAAUCCCAGGGCUCAACCCUGGAACUGCCUCCAAAACUCCUGGUCUUGAGUUCGAGAGAGGUGAGUGGAAUUCCGAGUGUAGAGGUGAAAUUCGUAGAUAUUCGGAGGAACACCAGUGGCGAAGGCGGCUCACUGGCUCGAUACUGACGCUGAGGUGCGAAAGUGUGGGGAGCAAACAGGAUUAGAAACCCGGGUAGUCC
This 292-nucleotide ribosomal RNA is filed under the name uncultured bacterium. RNAcentral describes it as "partial 16S ribosomal RNA". It matches the Rfam family "Bacterial small subunit ribosomal RNA", at positions 505 to 796 of the family's 1533-position model. The record is from RNAcentral.